UUCCCUGUAGCGUAAUGGCUAGCGUGUUGGACUUCUAAUUCAAAAACCGUGGGCUCGAAUCCCACCUGGGAUGAA
This is a non-coding RNA of Trichonephila clavipes, 75 nucleotides long. NCBI's taxonomy places the organism in Eukaryota, Metazoa, Arthropoda, Arachnida, Araneae, Nephilidae. The record is from the annotation of a GenBank genome assembly.